AACGCACAUUGCGCCCGCCAGUAUUCUGGCGGGCAUGCCUGUCCGAGCGUCAUUUCAACCCUCGAACCCCUCCGGGGGUACGGCGUUGGGGAUCGGCCCUUUACGGGGCCGGCCCCGAAAUACAGUGGCGGUCUCGCCGCAGCCUCUCCUGCGCAGUAGUUUGCACACUCGCAUCGGGAGCGCGGCGCGUCCACGUCCGUAAAACACCCAACUUCUGAAAUGUUGACCUCGGAUCAGGUAGGAAUACCCGCUGAACUUAA
RNAcentral lists this unclassified non-coding RNA (260 nucleotides) under Trichoderma sp. RNAcentral describes it as "partial contains 5.8S ribosomal RNA, internal transcribed spacer 2, and large subunit ribosomal RNA". The stretch from base 1 to 52 matches the Rfam family "5.8S ribosomal RNA", at positions 103 to 154 of the family's 154-position model. The record is from RNAcentral. RNAcentral also lists the same sequence under 1 other name. Lineage: Eukaryota; Fungi; Ascomycota; Sordariomycetes; Hypocreales; Hypocreaceae.